UAAAUAUCUUGGUUUCUCACCCACGAAUUGGGAUUGUGAUGCUUAUGUAUUCAAAUGGUCUAAUAGAAGCAAGAACCACUCAUAGGGCUUCUCUUACUUGGCAUGCAAUGGUGCUUCUAUAUACUUGCUCCAAUGACAUGCCAAAGGAGAGUUGCCCUAUGAGUGAUUUAGCUUAGUACUAAUAUUUUGAAAUUAUAGCAAACUCUUCUAGUUGUGCUCCUUAUUUUGUUCCUAAUCCGGCAUAUGAAGCAUGGUUACAAUAGAAGGAAAUGAAAACUUUCGACUCCUAAAGGUACCAAACUCGUUUUAUUAAGCCAUCUUAUGCUCCAUUUCAUCUUUCGUGAUUAUUUUGAUGGACACUUCGGUUUCUUUUCUUUUUCCUUUUUUUUUAAUUCAAGGGUAAUUUAUGUUAUUUCAG
RNAcentral lists this long non-coding RNA (418 nucleotides) under Olea europaea subsp. europaea. Lineage: Eukaryota; Viridiplantae; Streptophyta; Magnoliopsida; Lamiales; Oleaceae. The record is from RNAcentral.